AUACGUAGGUGGCAAGCGUUGUCCGGAAUUAUUGGGCGUAAAGCGCGCGCAGGCGGUCCUUUAAGUCUGAUGUGAAAGCCCACGGCUCAACCGUGGGGGGUCAUUGGAAACUGGGGGACUUGAGUGCAGAAGAGGACAGUGGAAUUCCAAGUGUAGCGGUGAAAUUCGUAGAGAUUUGGAGGAACAACAGUGGCGCAGGGGACUUUUUGGUAUGUAACUGACGCUGAGGCGCGAAAGCGUGGGGAGCAAACAGGAUUAGAUACCCUGGUAGUCCACGCCGUAAACGAUGAGUGCUAAGUGUUAGGGGGUUUCCGCCCCUUAGUGCUGCAGCUAACGCAUUAAGCACUCCGCCUGGGGAGUACGGUCGCAAGACUGAAACUCAAAUGAAUUGACGGGG
Molecule: ribosomal RNA, 397 nt
Filed under: uncultured bacterium
Lineage: Bacteria
Description: partial 16S ribosomal RNA
Rfam family: Bacterial small subunit ribosomal RNA
Source: RNAcentral